GAUUGAAUGCUGGUUUUUAUUCACAGGUCCUCUUUUGAAGGCAAGACGCAUCAGAAUUAUGACUCACCAGCAGAAGAAAUACUGAGGUUUGUAGCUAACUAGCAUGUUCAGCGUAAACAUUUGACAGUCUGUCUGAUAAAUGAAUGUUGUGCCUGUCAGAUGUUCACUUAAAUCGUUAAAAAUAAGAGGGAAAAGUAUCAAUAAAUUCUAAAAUACAUGUAAUGCA
Cyprinus carpio (common carp) is the source of this 226-nucleotide long non-coding RNA. Lineage: Eukaryota; Metazoa; Chordata; Actinopteri; Cypriniformes; Cyprinidae. The record is from Ensembl.